CGUCGAGCGGCGGACGGGUGAGUAAUGCCUGGGAAAUUGCCCUGAUGUGGGGGAUAACUAUUGGAAACGAUAGCUAAUACCGCAUAACGUCUACGGACCAAAGAGGGGGACCUUCGGGCCUCUCGCUUCAGGAUAUGCCCAGGUGGGAUUAGCUAGUUGGUGAGGUAAUGGCUCACCAAGGCGACGAUCCCUAGCUGGUCUGAGAGGAUGAUCAGCCACACUGGAACUGAGACACGGUCCAGACUCCUACGGGAGGCAGCAGUGGGGAAUAUUGCACAAUGGGCGCAAGCCUGAUGCAGCCAUGCCGCGUGUAUGAAGAAGGCCUUCGGGUUGUAAAGUACUUUCAGUCGUGAGGAAGGCGAUAUAGUUAAUAGCUAUAUCGUUUGACGUUAGCGACAGAAGAAGCACCGGCUAACUCCGUGCCAGCAGCCGCGGUAAUACGGAGGGUGCGAGCG
Molecule: ribosomal RNA, 455 nt
Filed under: Vibrio sp. ini5
Lineage: Bacteria; Pseudomonadati; Pseudomonadota; Gammaproteobacteria; Vibrionales; Vibrionaceae
Description: bacterial SSU rRNA
Rfam family: Bacterial small subunit ribosomal RNA
Source: RNAcentral